AUUGAACGCUGGCGGCAGGCUUAACACAUGCAAGUCGAGCGGGGUGAUGGUGCUUGCACUAUCACUUAGCGGCGGACGGGUGAGUAAUGCUUAGGAAUCUGCCUAUUAGUGGGGGACAACAUCUCGAAAGGGAUGCUAAUACCGCAUACGUCCUACGGGAGAAAGCAGGGGAUCGCUCUUGACCUUGUGCUAAUAGAUGAGCCUAAAUGGGAUUAGCUGGUUGGUGGGGUAAAGGCCUACCAAGGCGACGAUCUGUAGCGGGUCUGAGAGGAUAAUCCGCCACACUGGGACUGAGAAACGGCCCAGAUUCCUACGGGAGGCAGCAGUGGGGAAUAUUGGACAAUGGGGGGAACCCUGAUCCAGCCAUGCCGCGUGUGUGAAGAAGGCCUUAUGGUUGUAAAGCACUUUAAGCGAGGAGGAGGCUCUUUUGGUUAAUCCCCAAGAUGAGUGGACGUUACUCGCAGAGUAAGCACCGGCUAACUCUGUGGCAGCCGCCGCAGUAA
This 503-nucleotide ribosomal RNA is filed under the name uncultured bacterium. Its description in RNAcentral is "partial 16S ribosomal RNA". It matches the Rfam family "Bacterial small subunit ribosomal RNA", at positions 30 to 523 of the family's 1533-position model. The record is from RNAcentral.